Molecule: ribosomal RNA, 492 nt
Filed under: uncultured bacterium
Lineage: Bacteria
Description: partial 16S ribosomal RNA
Rfam family: Bacterial small subunit ribosomal RNA
Source: RNAcentral
AGUGAACGCUGGCGGUAGGCCUAACACAUGCAAGUCGAACGGCAGCACAGUAAGAGCUUGCUCUUACGGGUGGCGAGUGGCGGACGGGUGAGGAAUACAUCGGCAUCUACUUUUUCGUGGGGGAUAACGUAGGGAAACUUACGCUAAUACCGCAUACGACCUACGGGUGAAAGCAGGGGAUAUUCGGACCUUGCGCGAUUGAUUGAGCCGAUGUCGGAUUAGCUAGUUGGCGGGGUAAAGGCACACCAAGGCGACGAUCCGUAGCUGGUCUGAGAGGAUGAUCAGCCACACUGGAACUGAGACACGGUCCAGACUCCUACGGGAGGCAGCAGUGGGGAAUAUUGGACAAUGGGCGCAAGCCUGAUCCAGCCACACCGCGUGAGUGAAGAAGGCCUUCGGGUUGUAAAGCCCUUUUGUUGGGAAAGAAAAGCAGCAGAUUAAUACCCCGCUGUUCUGACGGUACCCAAAGAAUAAGCACCGGCUAACUUCGUG